GAGGGUAUAGCUCAGUGGUAGAGUGCAUGUUUAGCAUGCAUGAGGUCCUUGGUUCAAUCCCCAGUACCUCCA
This 72-nucleotide transfer RNA is filed under the name Camelus bactrianus (Bactrian camel). It matches the Rfam family "tRNA". Rfam says of the family: Transfer RNA (tRNA) molecules are approximately 80 nucleotides in length. Their secondary structure includes four short double-helical elements and three loops (D, anti-codon, and T loops). Lineage: Eukaryota; Metazoa; Chordata; Mammalia; Artiodactyla; Camelidae. RNAcentral also lists the same sequence under 3 other names. The record is from Rfam by way of RNAcentral.